RNAcentral lists this ribosomal RNA (253 nucleotides) under uncultured bacterium. Its description in RNAcentral is "partial 16S ribosomal RNA". It matches the Rfam family "Bacterial small subunit ribosomal RNA", at positions 524 to 776 of the family's 1533-position model. The record is from RNAcentral.
UACGUAGGUGGCAAGCGUUGUCCGGAUUUACUGGGCGUAAAGAGCGCGCAGGCGGUCAGAUAAGUCGAAUGUGAAAGCCCCCGGCUCAACUGGGGAGGGUCAUUCGAUACUGUUCGACUCGAAGGCAGGAGAGGGAAGUGGAAUUCCCGGUGUAGUGGUGAAAUGCGUAGAUAUCGGGAGGAACACCAGGGGCGAAGGCGACUUCCUGGCCUGUUCUUGACGCUGAGGCGCGAAAGCUAGGGGAGCAAACGGG